GUGGGGAAUCUUGCGCAAUGGGCGAAAGCCUGACGCAGCCAUGCCGCGUGAAUGAUGAAGGUCUUAGGAUUGUAAAAUUCUUUCACCGGGGACGAUAAUGACGGUACCCGGAGAAGAAGCCCCGGCUAACUUCGUGCCAGCAGCCGCGGUAAUACGAAGGGGGCUAGCGUUGCUCGGAAUUACUGGGCGUAAAGGGCGCGUAGGCGGAUCGUUAAGUCAGGGGUGAAAUCCCAGAGCUCAACUCUGGAACUGCCCUUGAUACUGGCGAUCUUGAGUGUGAGAGAGGUAUGUGGAACUCCGAGUGUAGAGGUGAAAUUCGUAGAUAUUCGGAAGAACACCAGUGGCGAAGGCGACUCACUGGCCCAAUACUGACGCUGAGGCGCGAAAGCGUGGGGAGCAAACAGGAUUAGAAACCCGGGUAGUCC
This 425-nucleotide ribosomal RNA is filed under the name uncultured bacterium. RNAcentral describes it as "partial 16S ribosomal RNA". It matches the Rfam family "Bacterial small subunit ribosomal RNA", at positions 354 to 796 of the family's 1533-position model. The record is from RNAcentral.